AACCCAUGUUGAGGACAUUUUUUUAGGAGUUCCUUGAACCUUUCCCAUGUAUUAAAUAGAGACUCCAAUUCCAUUUUCACAAAGGAUGGAAUCUCAUUCCUAAGCUU
Small nucleolar RNA from Dioscorea cayenensis subsp. rotundata (Guinea yam), 107 nucleotides. The record is from RefSeq and is a predicted model, not a curated record. Lineage: Eukaryota; Viridiplantae; Streptophyta; Magnoliopsida; Dioscoreales; Dioscoreaceae.